Molecule: non-coding RNA, 1360 nt
Organism: Conger conger (European conger)
Lineage: Eukaryota; Metazoa; Chordata; Actinopteri; Anguilliformes; Congridae
Source: the annotation of a RefSeq genome assembly
UACCAGCUCAGCAGUGACCCAGCACAAGCCCAAAGAGUCACUUUGGUCUGCUCACUGACCGGGUUUUACCCAAAAGAGAUCACAGUAGAAUGGAAAGAGGACAACAUGCGUUUUGAAGGUUCACCAGCUGUGUGGGAUAUGCAGGGGGAAGAUAAGAAGUUCAACCAGACCAGCCAGGUGGACGUCAACCUUGAGAAAUGGCUUUCUGGCUCAUUGUAUACCUGCAAAGUUACGCAAAAUACAAAAUCACAAGAGCUCAACACCAGCUUUUGCAGAACUCAUCCCAUUUCUUCGCCGUCUCUGAAGUUGAAUAUUGAUGAAAGCAGUGGGGCUUUCACAGCGACCUGUGAAGUGUUUGCCUCCUACAAAAGCAAAGUUUUCUGGGUCUUGGACAAGAGUGAGUCUGAAUCAGCAGACUAUCGUGAACUUAAGGACUCCAAGAACAGAAUUCAGGGAUCUGUGCACAGCAGGACUUUCACCAAGGAUGAAUGGAAAUCCAUGAAGUCAAUUGCAUGUGAAGUCCGAAACAAAUGUUUCAGCCCUGUAAGGAAGACCUUUCCGAUAACAGCCCCGGCGCCCCCCUCCCCACCCCAAGCCGCCCUGCUGCAGUUCUCCGGGGGACUCGUUUGCCUGGUGCACGGGUUCAGUCCGGCCGCCAUCAACGUCACCUGGGUCCUGAACGGCGAGACGGAGCUGCCGGGGGCCAACGGCAGCGACUUGUACCGCGCGGCCGACGGGACCUUCACGCUCUGGAGCCACCUGCAGGCCUCCUGGGAGCCGGGCGCCACGUACACCUGCAGGGUGGCCCACACCACCAAGAGCCUCUCCCUCAGCAAGAGCCAGCCAGAGAUCAGCUCAGACAACGAGUACUUCAAUGAGAACACGCACGAGCCCUUGUCCGUAGACAGCCCCGAGGACAUCUGGAACACGGCCUGUGCCUUCCUCGUCAUCUUCCUCAUCACCCUCCUCUACAGCAUCUCUGUGACAUUAGUGAUGAUGAAAUAACAAGAGGAUCACAUACCCUAUGCAUCCUAUGGCACCAACAUUUUCUAUGGUGAAAUGCUUUGUGUUUUUCGAACCAACUGUCACUAAAGUGAUAUUCAGUUGAAUCUCUUUUUCAUUGUUAUUUGCCCUUUAGUUCACAGCUCUUCUCUUUAUUUGUCUAGUUCUGCUUUAAACUGCAACCUUAAUCGUCUUUAAUCUUGUUUUGUGAAAACUAAUCAGGUUACGUGUGCGUCUGUCAGAGGAAUCAUGCCAAUCAAAUUCAACGAUCAUACGCUAAGUUCUUUUGUGAGUGUUAGCUUUAUUUUAAACAGGUAGCUUUACUUCAAUUAAAACUGCUUUCAUGAGAAAACCUUCA